AAGAGCCCAGUCCAGAAGUUCUCUGCUAUGGCUAUCGAUUCUUAUUCCAACCAAAACAUUCCUUCUCGCAACAGCUUCAGCUUCCUCCUCAACUAGCAUCUCGUAUGGUCUACUUAAUUGGGUUCACUAUUUCUUGAUCGAUCAAUUCCACAACAUCAAAGAAUCUAUAUAAGAUUUUAUUCCUCCUUGAACUUGCAUAGAUUCUGCAAAUUUAUUCUCUAAAUGAACUUCUCCAAUUCUUGACGUAAUCAUUUCAGUUCCCUACAAUAUUGAAAGGUAUAACAUGGUUACACUAGAUGAAAUUCUACCCUUUAACUGAUUCCGUUUGAAUAUUCCAAACUCAAAGAAUUUUUAAACAAUUUCAAAAGAAUUCACAUACCCACAAAAUCAUGUAAAUACUAUUAAAAUGAUGAAUAAUGCACAAGGUAAACAAGACAAACAGAUAAAAUUGGUACCUAAAAACUUUGUAGCCAUUUGCCAUUCAAACCAAGAAAAGAAUUAAAAAUGUAAUUGUCACCAAAUAUCAACCCUCCACCUAAUGCAACUAAUUUCAAGACUGAUAAAAGAAUAUUUAAAAUUAAAAAAAAAUAAUAAUAAUAAAGGAACUUGCUAAUAAACUAAAGACAGAGUGUUUUGGUGACAAUUAAGAUCACUUAAAAAAAAGGCGAACUAUUUUUGUUUUAAGAAAAUUUUGUGAAGAAAGUGUCGGCAAGGAAGAGAUUAAUCCUUAAAACAAAAACAAAAAAGGUGAAACAAUUUUAUGGCUAUGAAGUGAAAGAACAGAGAAGAGGAGAAGAGGAGAGAAGGGG
RNAcentral lists this long non-coding RNA (809 nucleotides) under Ricinus communis (castor bean). RNAcentral's name for it is "long non-coding RNA (RCOM_LNC003181)". Lineage: Eukaryota; Viridiplantae; Streptophyta; Magnoliopsida; Malpighiales; Euphorbiaceae. The record is from RNAcentral.